ACAAAUAUAUCUUUUUUGAUCAAUCCUAAGUUUUAAAAAGAAAGCAUACAUCAUACCCCAAAUAUUGCGUUCCACAUGUUAGAUUUAUUUUAUUUUUUAAUCUUUAUUUUUAUUUAAUUUUUUUAUUUUAUUAACAUAAGAUCUCUUUUUUUCUUUUCUUCUUCUCCAAGCAUUCAUGUCAAUCUUUUUCUCCUCUUCACCGAUAAUUUUUUGAUGUGGCAACCAUUACUACAAUAUCUACCCUAUUGUGUCUAUCACUAAAUCACCGAUAAUUCAAAAUUAAAAUUAAAAAAUUAAUAUAUCAAAUUAAAAAUUACUAUCAAAAUUGUCUUCAUGUGAAUCCUACCUUUGAUUUUUGCUCUAAAUCAGGUGGAUUAUGAUUGAAUAUCUUUCUACUUUAUGUAAAAAAAAAUUAUUUUUUUAUUGACUCUAUAUUUAACUAGCCUACUAAAUUUCUCCUUAUUUGUAUCAAUUGAUUUCAACAUGUGUACAACUUGUUAGGUGAGGACAAAAUUUCAAAAAAAUCAAAUGAAGAUUUAUAUAGAGUUGGGAUGAAACUCUCAAAAAGGUAGAUGCUUUCAUCGUUUUGAAUUCUAAAAUUCAAUUUAAUGACUUUUGAAGAAUUGUCUAAAAUUUUAUUAGAUAAGAUUUUACAAUCAAAGAAACAAAUCAAAGUGAUAUCAAUAAAAUUUUAUUAGAUAAGAUUUUAUUACGUCUUGAGGGGUAACCAAUUUCGCCAGCGAACCCGCAUUUUUUCGGUGGAGGCCAUGGGGAAUUACAAAAGGUGCACGUUAGCAGCCUUGCUAAUGUGCGCCGAGAUGUACAUGUACAGAGUAUGCCCACCCAGCAAGGACCUGUGGAUGGUAGGACUACCUUGGAAGGAGUUGCUAGUACCUCUAGGGGUGAAAAUAAGUUCUCAAAUUUAGAGAUUAUGGGUGACCAUGAGGGUGAUCCAAGUGCUCUUGGCAAGCAACAUUACAUGAUCUUUGCAACUUAGAACUUAAAGGGCUUGAACAAACCCCUCGGGCAAAAAGAUUUAAAGCUCUUUCUAAUUAAGCAUAAGAUAGAUGUAAUGGGAUGUUUAAAGACAAAGGUGAAGCAGCACAAAAGUCCCAACAUACUGGCAAAGGUUGCACAAGGAUGGUAUGCUAGUUGUAAUUGCUCAGAGGCUCCAAAUGGUCAAAUUUGGCUACUUUAGAGAUCACAUGUGAAGGUACAGACUGCUUUGGUGGGAAUGAGUGCUACCAUUCAAGAACCUUGGAUCCUGAGUGGAGACUUCAAUGCUAUCUUGAGUCCUGAUGACUGGUUGGGCUCCCCUGUUACAACUACUAAACACAGGACUUUAGACACUUCAUGGGUGUUUUGUAACUCACGUCUUUAAGAUCUAGGGGUUGCUAUUAUUCCUUUUUCAGUAAAUAAGAGCAAAAUCACAGAAUCUAUUCAAGAAUUGACUGGGCUAUGGGUAAUUAUCACAAGUUACAAAGCUAUGGAGCAGUGGAGGCUGACUAUUUGGAAUUUUUAACCAUUCCUAUAUCCUGCUACAAUGUAAUCGUACAUUGAGUAAUAGGCCAAAGCCUUUUAAAUUAUUCUCCACAGUCAUGCAACAUCACCAGUUUCUUGAUAUUGUUGCAAGCACCUGGACACAUAGCUUUAUUGGAACCAGAAUAUACUAGCUAGCUCAGAAGAUGAAAGCUCUAAGAACUAAUCUAAAGAGCCUUAACUCUAACCUGGAUUUCUAUGAAAUUCAUCUGCAUACUACCUAGCAGCAGCUUGCAGUUGUUCGAGAUAAACUGGUCAUUAAUCUGUUGAAUAAGACUUUGAUAGAGGAGGAAAAACUACCUAUUCAGAAACUGCACCAAUGGAGUCUAUUGGAAGAGUAAACACUAAGACAAAAAUCUAGGGCCAGAUGGAUUACCUGUGGAGACUCUUAACUCUAAAUUAUUUCAUGCACAAUGCAGGAUUAGAGAAAGUAGGAAUGUUAUUACUUCUAUCUAUACUGAUCAAAGACUGAAGGUUAUAGAUCCAGCAUUAGUGGAACAAGGAUUUGUUUCCUUUUUAACCAACUUCUUAGGAACUGCAGCUGCUAAGGUUCCUCUGCCAAACUCGAAAGUCAUUAAAAGUGGUCCUUUUUAAUCUGCUCCACAAAAGAUGGCGCUCGUACAACAGGUUACAGAGGAAGAAAUAUGAUUUCUAUAAAGGUCAUGGCCAUUAAUAAAUCACCAAGAGUGGAUGGUAUCCCUAUUAAGUUCUACACCAAUCAAUGGAACAGAGUGAAGCCAGAUGUGUUGCUAGCUUUAAAAGAAUUCUUCCACUCAGGUAAAAUGCUUAAAACAUUUAGCUGCACUACAGUGACUCUUGUGAAAAAUGUACCUGCUCCCACAGUAGUCAAAGACUAUAGGCCUAUAGCAUGUUGUAAUACUUUUUAUAACAUCAUCAUAAAGGUGUAACAAACAGGAUGAAAGGAGUAAUGAACAUUAUUAUCAGUCCCCUCUUAGUUGGCUUUUAUAAAGGGCAGAUCUAUCAUUGAUAAUUUGUUAUUUAGUCAUUAAUUAUUGAAGUGGUAUACUAGGAAAAUUUGUGUAACACACCACAUUUUUGAGCUAGAGAUCGAAUUGUUGUUCCU
Molecule: long non-coding RNA, 2623 nt
Organism: Capsicum annuum
Lineage: Eukaryota; Viridiplantae; Streptophyta; Magnoliopsida; Solanales; Solanaceae
Exons: 2
Source: RefSeq, a predicted model, not a curated record